Molecule: ribosomal RNA, 1030 nt
Filed under: uncultured bacterium
Lineage: Bacteria
Description: bacterial SSU rRNA
Rfam family: Bacterial small subunit ribosomal RNA
Source: RNAcentral
AGUCGAGCGGUAACAGAAAGUAGCUUGCUACUUUGCUGACGAGCGGCGGGCACGGGUGAGUAAUGCUUGGGAACAUGCCUUGAGGUGGGGGACAACAGUUGGAAACGACUGCUAAUACCGCAUAAUGUCUACGGACCAAAGGGGGCUUCGGCUCUCGCCUUUAGAUUGGCCCAAGUGGGAUUAGCUAGUUGGUGAGGUAAUGGCUCACCAAGGCGACGAUCCCUAGCUGGUUUGAGAGGAUGAUCAGCCACACUGGGACUGAGACACGGCCCAGACUCCUACGGGAGGCAGCAGUGGGGAAUAUUGCACAAUGGGCGCAAGCCUGAUGCAGCCAUGCCGCGUGUGUGAAGAAGGCCUUCGGGUUGUAAAGCACUUUCAGUCAGGAGGAAAGGUUAGUGGUUAAUACCCGUUAGCUGUGACGUUACUGACAGAAGAAGCACCGGCUAACUCCGUGCCAGCAGCCGCGGUAAUACGGAGGGUGCGAGCGUUAAUCGGAAUUACUGGGCGUAAAGCGUACGCAGGCGGUUUGUUAAGCGAGAUGUGAAAGCCCCGGGCUCAACCUGGGAACUGCAUUUCGAACUGGCAAACUAGAGUGUGAUAGAGGGUGGUAGAAUUUCAGGUGUAGCGGUGAAAUGCGUAGAGAUCUGAAGGAAUACCGAUGGCGAAGGCAGCCACCUGGGUCAACACUGACGCUCAUGUACGAAAGCGUGGGGAGCAAACGGGAUUAGAUACCCCGGUAGUCCACGCCGUAAACGAUGUCUACUAGAAGCUCGGAGCCUCGGUUCUGUUUUUCAAAGCUAACGCAUUAAGUAGACCGCCUGGGGAGUACGGCCGCAAGGUUAAAACUCAAAUGAAUUGACGGGGGCCCGCACAAGCGGUGGAGCAUGUGGUUUAAUUCGAUGCAACGCGAAGAACCUUACCUACACUUGACAUACAGAGAACUUACCAGAGAUGGUUUGGUGCCUUCGGGAACUCUGAUACAGGUGCUGCAUGGCUGUCGUCAGCUCGUGUUGUGAGAUGUUGGGUUAAG